UUCAAGAAGGUGUUAGUGUAUUAUUUACGUAAAAGAUGAAGUGUGUUGCAGUUUUUUCCAUCUUAUUGUAUAUCUGCUUCCUUCAGCUUAAUUGUGCUAAUGGGGCCCCCUUUCCGGAACCAUCACCCGAUGGUUUACUUGGUGGUACGUAUCUGGACAUUCGAAGUAUGAGAAAAACAUGCUAGCGCAGUCGAGUAGACUGAACUACCACUCAUCAUUCUUAUUCCAAGACCUUCACAAAUUUCUGAUUGUUUUUAUAGGGACUCCCUAACACAAAAGGAAGUAGUUUUAAAUUUUCUUAUUGUUUACUUCAGUUGAGAUCAAAUAUUAACAACAAUAACAAUUUGUUAUUAAACACUUCGGUGGAACAUUUUUAAAAGAAAGGUAACAAAUAGGUAAAACGUUACACUUAUAAAUAUUAUUGAGGUGAAACUUCUUUACGUACGGUAGGGUAAGUUCGUUUCAUGCGAGUUGCUAUGUAACG
This is a long non-coding RNA of Agrilus planipennis (emerald ash borer), 484 nucleotides long. RefSeq lists it as uncharacterized. Lineage: Eukaryota; Metazoa; Arthropoda; Insecta; Coleoptera; Buprestidae. The transcript has 3 exons. The record is from RefSeq and is a predicted model, not a curated record.